GAUCCUGGCUCAGGAUGAACGCUAGCUACAGGCUUAACACAUGCAAGUCGAGGGGCAUCAGUUUGGUUUGCUUGCAAACCAAAGCUGGCGACCGGCGCACGGGUGAGUAACACGUAUCCAACCUGCCUCAUACUCGGGGAUAGCCUUUCGAAAGAAAGAUUAAUAUCCGAUAGCAUAUAUUUCCCGCAUGGGUUUUAUAUUAAAGAUUUAUCGGUGUACGAUGGGGAUGCGUUCCAUUAGGUAG
RNAcentral lists this ribosomal RNA (244 nucleotides) under uncultured bacterium. Its description in RNAcentral is "partial 16S ribosomal RNA". It matches the Rfam family "Bacterial small subunit ribosomal RNA", at positions 15 to 248 of the family's 1533-position model. The record is from RNAcentral.